GACGAACGCUGGCGGCGUGCUUAACACAUGCAAGUCGAACGGAAAGGCCCUGCUUUUGUGGGGUGCUCGAGUGGCGAACGGGUGAGUAACACGUGAGUAACCUGCCCUUGACUUUGGGAUAACUUCAGGAAACUGGGGCUAAUACCGGAUAGGAGCUCCUGCUGCAUGGUGGGGGUUGGAAAGUUUCGGCGGUUGGGGAUGGACUCGCGGGUUAUCAGCUUGUUGGUGGGGUAGUGGCUUACCAAGGCUUUGACGGGUAGCCGGCCUGAGAGGGUGACCGGCCACAUUGGGACUGAGAUACGGCCCAGACUCCUACGGGAGGCAGCAGUGGGGAAUAUUGCACAAUGGGCGGAAGCCUGAUGCAGCAACGCCGCGUGCGGGAUGACGGCCUGCGGGUUGUAAACCGCUUUCGCCUGUGACGAAGCGUGAGUGACGGUAAUGGGUAAAGAAGCACCGGCUAACUACGUG
Molecule: ribosomal RNA, 468 nt
Filed under: uncultured bacterium
Lineage: Bacteria
Description: partial 16S ribosomal RNA
Rfam family: Bacterial small subunit ribosomal RNA
Source: RNAcentral